RNAcentral lists this ribosomal RNA (484 nucleotides) under uncultured bacterium. RNAcentral's name for it is "partial 16S ribosomal RNA". It matches the Rfam family "Bacterial small subunit ribosomal RNA", at positions 29 to 523 of the family's 1533-position model. The record is from RNAcentral.
AGUGAACGCUGGCGGCGUGCUUAACACAUGCAAGUCGAACGAGAACGGGUUAUAGCUUGCUAUAAUUGUCAGCUAAGUGGCGCACGGGUGAGUAAUGUAUAGGUAAUAUGCCUCUUACUAAGGGAUAACAAAUGGAAACGUUUGCUAAUACCUUAUACUCCUUAUUAACAGGAGUUAAUAAGGGAAAGAUUUAUUGGUAAGAGAUUAGCCUGUAUUGUAUCAGUUAGUUGGUGGGGUAAUGGCUUACCAAGACUAUGACACAUAACUGGUUUGAGAGGAUGAUCAGUCACACUGGAACUGAGAUACGGUCCAGACUCCUACGGGAGGCAGCAGUGGGGAAUAUUGCACAAUGGACGAAAGUCUGAUGCAGCAACGCCGCGUGGAGGAUGACACAUUUCGGUGCGUAAACUCCUUUUAUAUGAGAAGAUAAUGACGGUAUUAUAUGAAUAAGCACCGGCUAACUCCGUGCCAGCCGCCGCCGUAA